Castor canadensis (American beaver) is the source of this 1680-nucleotide non-coding RNA. The record is from RefSeq and is a predicted model, not a curated record. NCBI's taxonomy places the organism in Eukaryota, Metazoa, Chordata, Mammalia, Rodentia, Castoridae.
GCAGGGCCGACGCUCCGGUGCUCGCUCAGUCCUCGGCCUCGCUGGCCCCUCGCGCCUUUCGGCAGCCCGCGUUCCCGGCCGCAGCUCCAGCGCGCCCGGAUCUGGCCCACUGCCCCGCGAAGAUGGCUGCCGUACGCCGGGCCCGCAGUUACUCCCGCUGCCUGGUGCGCUUCUCCACCGAGGACUCUGCUAAGCCCGUCGCAGUAGGCGGGCAGGAGUAGACACCGGAGACCCCGCACCGCUCCUCCGGGGGGCGGUGCCGAGGGGGCGCCACAGCCCUUGGACCGCGGCCGGCCGGCCCGCCGGCAUGGCAGAAGCUGAGGAAGACUGUCAUUCUGACACUGUCAGAGCAGGAGAUGUUGAUGAAAAUGAGAGGCCUGCUGAGACAGACCUGCAGGCCCAGCUCCAGGGGUUUCGAGCUCAGUGGAUGUUUGAACUUGCCCCAGGUGUGGGCUCCAGCCACUUAGAAACUGGACCUUGCAGAGCAGCAAGAGGCUCUCUACUGAAAGCAGCCGCAGAUACCAAAGGAAAGCAAGAACUGGCAAAAGAAAAGGCUCGAGAACUCUUCCUAAAAGCAGUAGAAGAACGAAAUGGCGCUCUCUAUGAAGCCAUCAAGUUUUAUCGCAGGGCUAUGCAACUUGUGCCUGACAUAGAGUUCAGGAUCACUUACACCCGGCCUCCAGAUGGGGACGGCGCUGGAAAGAGCUACAUUGAGGAUAAUGACGAUGACAGCAAGAUGGCAGAUCUCUUGUCCUACUUCCGGCAGCAACUCACAUUUCAGGAUUCUGUGCUCAAACUGUGUCAGCCGGGGCUCGAGAGCAGUCAGACUCACAUAUCAGUGCUGCCAAUGGAGGUCCUGAUGUACAUCUUCCGAUGGGUGGUGUCUAGUGACCUGGACCUCAGGUCAUUGGAGCAGUUGUCACUGGUGUGCAGAGGAUUCUAUAUCUGUGCCAGAGACCCUGAAAUAUGGCGCCUGGCUUGUUUGAAAGUAUGGGGCAGAAGCUGUGUUAAACUUGUUCCAUACUCAUCCUGGAGACAUAUGUUUUUAGAACGGCCUCGUGUUCGGUUUGAUGGAGUGUAUAUCAGUAAAACCACAUAUAUUCGUCAAGGGGAGCAGUCUCUUGAUGGCUUCUACAGAGCCUGGCACCAAGUGGAAUAUUACAGGUACAUAAGAUUCUUUCCCGAUGGCCAUGUGAUGAUGUUGACAACCCCUGAGGAGCCUCAGUCCAUUGUUCCCCGUUUAAGAACUAGGAACACCAGAACGGAUGCAAUUCUGCUGGGUCAUUAUCGCUUAUCACAAGAUACAGACAAUCAGACCAAAGUAUUUGCUGUAAUAACUAAGAAGAAAGAGGAAAAACCACUUGACUACAAAUACAGGUAUUUUUGUCGUGUCCCUGUGCAAGAAGCAGAUCACAGUUUUCAUGUGGGGUUGCAGCUAUGUUCCAGUGGCCACCAGAGGUUCAAUAAACUCGUUUGGAUCCAUCAUUCUUGUCACAUCACUUACAAAUCAACUGGUGAGACUGCAGUCAGUGCUUUUGAGAUCGACAAGAUGUACACACCCUUGUUCUUCGCCAGAGUGAGGAGCUACACUGCGUUCUCAGAAAGGCCCCUAUAGGGCUCCUGGCCAGUCCUUGUCACUGUUGCAUGAAUUAAAGUACAAAGCGCAAAAGAGCACCUAAG